GAUGAACGCUGGCGGCGUGCUUAACACAUGCAAGUCGAACGAUGAAGCCCAGCUUGCUGGGUGGAUUAGUGGCGAACGGGUGAGUAACACGUGAGUAACCUGCCCUUAACUCUGGGAUAAGCCUGGGAAACUGGGUCUAAUACCGGAUAGUAGCGUUCACCGCAUGGUGGGUGUUGGAAAGAUUUAUCGGUUUUGGAUGGACUCGCGGCCUAUCAGCUUGUUGGUGAGGUAAUGGCUCACCAAGGCGACGACGGGUAGCCGGCCUGAGAGGGUGACCGGCCACACUGGGACUGAGACACGGCCCAGACUCCUACGGGAGGCAGCAGUGGGGAAUAUUGCACAAUGGGCGCAAGCCUGAUGCAGCGACGCCGCGUGAGGGAUGACGGCCUUCGGGUUGUAAACCUCUUUCAGUAGGGAAGAAGCGAAAGUGACGGUACCUGCAGAAGAAGCACCGGCUAACUACGUG
This 466-nucleotide ribosomal RNA is filed under the name uncultured bacterium. Its description in RNAcentral is "partial 16S ribosomal RNA". It matches the Rfam family "Bacterial small subunit ribosomal RNA", at positions 28 to 507 of the family's 1533-position model. The record is from RNAcentral.